GGUCAUCAAUUUAAAAAAUUAUUUUUGAAAUGAUUGACUUAAAUGUUAUCAAUAAAUAAUUUGUAAACUAAUUUUGUCAACCUAAUUUGUACACAUAGCAUGAUUCGUAUAUUUCUUACUUUAACAUAGCAUGUAUAUUUAUCACUUUACGCUAAAUUGAAUUGAGUAAUGCUAUUAAUUACUUUGACAUAACAUGUAUAUUUGUCAAUGUUAGGAUCUUCCUCAAACUGCUCAAAGUGAUUUCCGGGCUCAGUUAACCAUUAAACAUCGAAUUCAACACCAAAACCGAGAUGACCGACCGUCGGCGCCAUUGUCUUCCUAUGGUUGUUAUUGCUCUUUUGCUUGUUGAUUCUACCACACACUUAGGAUGGAUACCACACAGGUAAGAGUCACAAAGCCUCAAGCAAUUGGUAGGGAAGAUUAAUUGACAGGAUGCAUGAAGGAUAAGAAGAAGAAGAAUGCCUCUCUCUCUCGAGUUCUCUCACGCACGGCACAAAGGAGGAGGAGAGAAUUACCAAUAUAUAAAUUAGUCCAAUGACCACUUAAGGUAAGUCACAAUAUGGUAAGUAGGCUCGACUAGGGUUAAGUCCCAAUAGCACACCAACAAGCCACAAAGAUUAUUAGACAUCCAAUAGGUAAAGCAACGCUAGGUCGGUUAAUCCAUUAUUCGGUGUUGAUUUAUCGUUCAGUCAUUCAUGUCGACUGAUAAAAUUGGUUUUCAUCAUCGCCCGGGAGGUCGUUUGAUAACAUGAUGUCUAACAACCUCCAUCUUGGUAUCAAAGGACCUGCAAAGAAAAACGUUUUCCAUUAGUGACACCUCUAACAGAAAACCGAUAAAAUUGGAAAUCAUUUACCUGUACCGAUGUUUAGAAGCUCCUUGCAACUUUUAAACUUUACCAGUGGCAGCACUUUCGUGCCCAUAUCUAAAGGAUUAUAUUGUGUAUGAAUUUUUUCAAGUCUUACUACUUCUUGUGAUAUUAUAUCCCUAAUGAAGUGUAACCUAACAUCGAUAUGUUUAGUGCGUUCGUGAAAAACAGGAUUCUUACACAGAUGUAUGGAUGCUAACUAUCAGAGUACACAACCACAUACUCAUUCAAGACACUCAGUUCAUGAAGUAGACCUUUAAGCCAUAGAGCCUCUUUAAUUGCUUCAGUGGUGACAAUAUAUUUUGACUCGGUAGUGGAUAGUGCAACUAUGUGUUGUAACUGUGAUUUCCAACUAACACAUGAAUUUGAUAAGGUGAAUACGUAAGAGGAAGUUGAUUUUCUACCAUCCCUAUCUCCUGCAUAGUCAGCAUCUACAAAACCCAUUAAUUUCACGCCUCCUUAUUAGCACUAAAUUUUAGACCUACGUCACUUGUACCCUUCAAAUAUCUUAAAAGCUACUUUAAUGCUUCCCAAUGUUCAGGACCUGGAUUAGACAUGUACCUAAUGAGAGUACUAACGGCGAAUCCUAAGUCCGGUCUAGUGCAAACCAUCAAAUACAUUAUGGAACCAAUCACAUUUGAGUAUGGAAUUUUACUCAUGUAUUCCACUUCACAUUCAUUGCAAGGAGUUUGUUCUUUAGAUAGAACAAAAUGGUUUGCAAGAGGCAACGUGACAGGUUUGCAGUCACUCAUAUUAAACAUUUUCAACACCUUUGAUAUAUAUGGAGACUGAUGCAAGAAUACGAUGGAAUUUGACCUAUUUCGUUCUAUUUUCAUGCCUAGAAUCCUUUUAGCCUUUCCUAGGUCUUUCAUGUCAAAUUUUUCACUAAGAUCUGCUUUUUUAUUAUUUAUCCACUUAGGAGAUGAUCCAACUAAAAGCAUGUCAUCCACAUAGAGCAACAAGAACAAAUAAUUGUUAUCAAUCUCGUUGUGUUGAAAGUAUAGGCAGUGAUCGAAUUUACUUCUUUGAAAUCCUAUAGUGAGUACAAAGGAAUCAAACCUCUUGUACCACUGUCUAGGUGAUUGCUUUAGACCGUAUAGGGAUCUUUUCAGAAAACACACAUAAUCAGAUUUUAACUUGUCUUUAAAACCUUUUGGUUGAUUCAUAAAGAUUUGUUCAUCAAACUCUCCAUGUAAAAAAGCGGUUUUUACAUCGAGUUGUUCAAGUUCCCAGUCAAAGAGCGCAACCAAUGUGAGCAUGACCCUAAUAGUAGUGUACUUGACAACUGGUGAGAAAAUUUCGUUAUAAUCAACACCUUCUUUCUGUGUUUAACCCUUCGCUACUAACCUAGCCUUAAAUCUUAAGGGUUCUGUACUACUAGUACCUUCCUUAACCUUAAAGACCCACUUGCAAUCAACGAUUGAUUUAUUCUUAGGUCUCAGUACUAACUCCCAAGUUUGAUUCUUUUCUAGAGAACUCGUCUCUUCUUUCAUAGCCUUAAGCCACUCCUUAGAUUGACCACUAUUCAUAGCCUCUUCAAAAGUUUUCGGCUCCCUAUCAACUAGUUCUUCGUAACUAGCGUAUGCAAAAUCCAAUUCAGAUUCAUACCCGAACCUCCUAGGUUUUCUCGUUUGUCUUCUCUCUCUAUCUCUAACUAAAUUAUAGUUAGCUAAUAGAUUUUCUUCCUCAGGAUGCUCUUCUAUCACUGCUUCAUUUUCCUCUUCAGGUUCUUGGACCUGAAUCUCCACCUCACUCGAAGUACUAGGUAUUGUUGUGUUAAAUUUUCUUAACUCCACAUUAAACCGAUUUCUUUCUUCACUUGAUUCAGUUUCACUUACAGGUUCGAUUUCGUUCUUUAGACAAGGCAUCUCACUCUCAUUAAAUGUGACAUCCCUACUCACGAUGAUCUCAACUCCUUUUUGGCUUCUAUCCCAUAGCCUAUAGCCCUUAACCCAUUUGGGAUAUCUUAGAAAGACACACUUCCUGGUUCUAGGUUCUAACUUUCCCUCACUUUGAUGAGAAAAGGCAGCACAGCCAAACGAUUUAAGCAUUGAGUAGUCACCCAAUUUUCCAAACCAUUUCUCAUGUGGAGUAUCACCAUUUAAUGCAGCCGAUGGAGUCAAGUUUAUCAGAUAACAGGCAGUUACAACGGCUUCACCCCAAAAUAACUUAGGAACCCCAGAACUUAACAUCAUGCAGCGCACUUUGUUUACUAUGGUCCUAUUCAUUCUUUCUGCUACCCCAUUUUGCUGGGGAGUAUAAGGAACCGUUUUGUGCCUUGUUAUUCCACUUUCUUUACACAUCCUAUCGAAUUCAGCAUUACAGAAUUCUAGGCCGUUAUCUGUCCUUAAAAAUUUGAUCCUCUUGCUAGUUUGGUUUUCCAUUUGUUUCUUCCAGUUGUUAAAGUUAUGGAAGGUUUCAGUUUUAUCUUUCAAUAGAUAGACCCACACUUUCCUGGUGUAGUCAUCUAUGAUAGAUAGGAAAUACAUAUUCCCACCCGAUGUGAGAUUACUAGCAGGACCCCAUAGAUCAGAAUGCACAUAUUCAAGCAUGCUUUUAGCCUUAUGCGUACUAGUGGAGAACGACAAUCUAUGGUGCUUUCUGAGCACACAGUGAUCACAGAAUGAUAGGUCAGACACACAGUCAUUACCAAAUGCACAUUUUUCAUUAAGUAGUUUAAGUCCUUUAAUACUUACGUGUGCAAGCCUACUAUGCCACGUAUGUGUGUGAUCGAUUUUGGCGGAAAAAAUAGAGGAGUUUAAUCCUCUAAUCAUUUCCCCAGUAGUGAUGUAAAUGUCGUUUUUCUUGAUUCCCUUAAUAGAGAUUAACACACCCUUCAUCAUUUUAAACAUACCAUUUUCAAUUUUACCGAUGAAGUUGUCUUUCUCAAGUCUUCCUACUGAAAUUAAAUUCCUAGAUAAUUCAGGAAUGUAUCUAACUUCCUUUAACAUGUACACAAAGCCUAUGUUAAAUUUUAUCUUUAUAUCUCCAAUUCCAGCAAUUGUAUAGGCAAAGUUAUUACACAGAACAACUUGCCCAUCAUUAGAUUCUUGCAAGUUUUCAAACCAGUUCUUUUCAGACGUCGCAUGAAUAGACGCACCAGAAUCUAAUAUCCAUUCAUGCAUGUGAGAAUUAGUAGUUAGAUUUAAUUCAGUAGUGUAUGCGACUGGACUAGUGAUCAUAUAGAUUUCACCGUUUUCGGUAUCGGAGGUAGAGGAUAACACAUUUAGCUCAUCUCUUUUCUUAACCUUUUGUUUUCCCUUUUCUUUAUGACAGUCUUUUAUAAAAUGCCCUGUGCCUCCACAGCCAUAGCAUUUUCUAGCCUUAGUUUUAGACUUUGACCUAGGUCUACCAUUUUCUUUCUUUUUCCAACUAUUACUACUUGAUUCGCCACUACUUUGGUAUCCAUCAUGACUGGCUUGCCUAAAUUGAGUUCUACCCCGCAUCAUAUGCAACUCUCCACACCUCCUAUCCUGUUUUUCAGCCCUCAUUUCCAUCUCCUUACUCCUAAGAGAAUCUACGACAAUUUCAGGUGUUAACGUGUCCCUACCAUACUUAAUGGCAUUUUUAACUUCUUUAUAAGAGUCCGGGAUUGAAUUGAGCAAGAUAAUGGCCUUAUAGGUUUCAGACACGGCUUCGUCACAAUUGACAAUAUCUUGCACCAAUUUGUUAAAUACAUCUAAAUUGUCGUCGAGAUCCUUUGAAGGAUCCAUUUUAAAGCUGAAGAAUCGUUCGAGUAGGUAGAGUUUAUUCGGUGUAGAUUUAAGCAAGUAUAAGUCUUCUAGUCUUUUCCAAAGUUCUUUGGUGGUUUUUAGUUUUCCCACUUUUCUUAAGACAGCGUCAGACAAGUGUAAUAUUAUUGAGGUAUAGGCAAGCUCAUCGGCUUCCUCUUUUUGUUCUUUUGAGAUAGCAGGUGCAAAAUUGUCUUCCAUGGCUUUUGACACCUUUUGUUGGACUAAUAUGUCUCUUAUCUUUUGUUGCCAGAUAGAGAAGUCCCCUUUACCGUUAAAAAUUUUCAAAUCAAAAUUAUGUGUUGUCAUUGGUUAACACACUGGUUAAACCACAAGAAGUAGUAUUGGGAAGCGUGAUUAGAUAAUAACUUGUUAAUUCUUAACAAAAGUAACAAUUGACCUAAACGCUACGUCCACCAAGAAAUACCAAGCACUUUAAAUCAAAAGAACAAGCACUCAAUUAACGCAAGUAAUCCUAGUUCUAGCACAAGCAAUGGUUACCCCUUCACGGUAACCCCAAAACCUAACGAU
Molecule: long non-coding RNA, 5128 nt
Filed under: Olea europaea subsp. europaea
Lineage: Eukaryota; Viridiplantae; Streptophyta; Magnoliopsida; Lamiales; Oleaceae
Source: RNAcentral